This 278-nucleotide ribosomal RNA is filed under the name uncultured bacterium. RNAcentral describes it as "partial 16S ribosomal RNA". It matches the Rfam family "Bacterial small subunit ribosomal RNA", at positions 335 to 605 of the family's 1533-position model. The record is from RNAcentral.
UUACCUACGGGGGGCAGCAGUAGGGAAUUUUCGUCAAUGGGCGCAAGCCUGAACGAGCGAUGCCGCGUGAGUGAAGAAGGCCUUCGGGUCGUAAAGCUCUGUUGCGGGGGAAAAAAGGCAGCAUCAGGAAAUGGGUGCUGACUGAUGGUGCCCCGCCAGAAAGUCACGGCUAACUACGUGCCAGCAGCCGCGGUAAUACGUAGGUGGCGAGCGUUAUCCGGAAUGAUUGGGCGUAAAGGGUGCGCAGGCGGUUCUUCACGUCUGGAGUGCAAGGCGGG